AAGUGAUCGUGAGGGAAUAUCUGGAUCCAGAUGUAGUGGACAGUCACUGACACUGUAUGGAUCAAUGGCAGACCCAACAUUCCCUGCCUUUUUCUGAAAAACCUGGCUCCUUCAGCAACAUCAUCAUUAGCAAAAGCCAAAAGAGAAACUUGCCGACCUACACUGGUUUAUUUUCUGUCUUUCUCCCUUCUACAAUGAAGGUUCCAGAGCAGCAGGGACUUUGAGUGUCUUAAUCAUCACUGCAUUAUCAGCUCCUGAGACUGUUCCUGGCACUCCAUAAACACUUGGUGAUGAAUAAAUCAUCCAACAGAAAGAAGGUAAACUCCAAAUUCUUCCUUAUUCUCACAUGCAAGACCUUCUAUGGGCUGAAUCCAACUUCAGUUUUCCAGGCUUGCUAGUCCUCUCCUUUAAUUUUUGAUGCCAGCCACAUUCACCUUGUCAUUGACUCCUAAAUAGGGGGACUUCUUCACCACCAAGGUUUUUUAGUGAGUGCUGAUCUUCUUCCCUCUGCCCACCCAAAUGCUGUCCCAUGGCCUGUUGCGGUCUUUCCCUCUCUGUGAAGCCACACAAAUUACUCUGUCCAUGUGCACCUUGUUGUCUGCACCCCUUUGGUGUCUGGAGACCCUAUGUGCCCAGCAAUCAAGUAUGAUCUGCCUGCAUUAUCUUUCUCCCCUCAUAUUGC
This 682-nucleotide long non-coding RNA is filed under the name Homo sapiens (human). RNAcentral describes it as "HSALNT0280202". The record is from RNAcentral. Lineage: Eukaryota; Metazoa; Chordata; Mammalia; Primates; Hominidae.